CGGGGCGUCGUAUACCGGUAGUACGCAUGGUUUGGGACCAUGUAGACUGGGUUCAAUUCCCAGCGCCCCGACCG
This 74-nucleotide transfer RNA is filed under the name Candidatus Andersenbacteria bacterium RIFCSPHIGHO2_01_FULL_46_36. RNAcentral describes it as "tRNA-Pro". It matches the Rfam family "tRNA". From Rfam's summary of the family: Transfer RNA (tRNA) molecules are approximately 80 nucleotides in length. Their secondary structure includes four short double-helical elements and three loops (D, anti-codon, and T loops). RNAcentral also lists the same sequence under 2 other names. The record is from RNAcentral. Lineage: Bacteria; Candidatus Anderseniibacteriota.